CAAACUAUAACUUUAUUUUAAAAAUGGUUCUUAAUAAGUGCAGUUUGAUAAAAUGGUGUUAAAACUUAUGGGUAAAGGGGAAGUAAAAAUAAUUGAAGUAUACCACUGUAAGAAAUACUUGAGGUCUGGCACCUGAGAGCAGACUGUGGGGGAAACUUCAUGUUAUGAUAGGAAAGAAUCCCCCACUUUCCCUUCACCCUCUCACCCACUUAACCUCACCAGAAACCACCAAGAUGCCCAGAAUAAAAGUUUUCAAGUUCAAUAGUCACACUAUUUCCAACUACAAAAAGCAGUUACAAUUCAACUGAACAAAGAAGCUAAUGUGCAAAGUUAAGGGGAUCUGAGACAUCAUAUAAAAAGUUAGGUUAAAGAUAAUUCUAUUUGUGUGUGUGUGUGUGUGUGUGUUUGUGUGUGUUUUGUUCCAAGGGUGUAGCUAUUCCUUGGCCACCUGAACUCAGCAAAGAAACUGUUAUUUUAAUGAAGUGUUAGU
This 490-nucleotide long non-coding RNA is filed under the name Marmota monax (woodchuck). The record is from RNAcentral. Lineage: Eukaryota; Metazoa; Chordata; Mammalia; Rodentia; Sciuridae.